RNAcentral lists this ribosomal RNA (547 nucleotides) under uncultured bacterium. Its description in RNAcentral is "partial 16S ribosomal RNA". It matches the Rfam family "Bacterial small subunit ribosomal RNA", at positions 355 to 895 of the family's 1533-position model. The record is from RNAcentral.
UGGGGAAUUUUGGACAAUGGGGGCAACCCUGAUCCAGCCAUGCCGCGUGUGCGAAGAAGGCCUUCGGGUUGUAAAGCACUUUUGGCAGGAAAGAAACGGCGCCGGCUAAUAUCUGGCGUAACUGACGGUACCUGCAGAAUAAGCACCGGCUAACUACGUGCCAGCAGCCGCGGUAAUACGUAGGGUGCAAGCGUUAAUCGGAAUUACUGGGCGUAAAGCGUGCGCAGGCGGUUCGGAAAGAAAGAUGUGAAAUCCCAGGGCUCAACCUUGGAACUGCAUUUUUAACUCCCGAACUAGAGUGUGUCAGAGGGGGGUGGAAUUCCACGUGUAGCAGUGAAAUGCGUAGAUAUGUGGAGGAACACCGAUGGCGAAGGCAGCCCCCUGGGAUAACACUGACGCUCAUGCACGAAAGCGUGGGGAGCAAACAGGAUUAGAUACCCUGGUAGUCCACGCCCUAAACGAUGUCAACUAGCUGUUGGGUUCUUCGGAGCUUGGUAGCGCAGCUAACGCGUGAAGUUGACCGCCUGGGGAGUACGGUCGCAAGAUU